Molecule: unclassified non-coding RNA, 279 nt
Filed under: plant metagenome
Description: partial contains small subunit ribosomal RNA, internal transcribed spacer 1, and 5.8S ribosomal RNA
Source: RNAcentral
UCUCCGUAGGUGAACCUGCGGAGGGAUCAUUACCGAGUUCUCGCCCGCCAGGGUACAUCUCACACACACUGCGUUUGCUACCGGGUUUAUUUGGCGGGCCGCAGGGCGCUGCCCCGCCGCCAAGCGACCCCGCAGGCGCGCGCCCGCCGUAGGCUCCCCGAAACCUCAAAGACAAUGCCAUCCGAGUAACACACAAUAGUUAAAACUUUCCACAACGGAACACUUGGGUCUGGCAUCGAUGAAGAACGCUGCACAUCGGAAACGCGCACGUCUGAACUC